RNAcentral lists this ribosomal RNA (253 nucleotides) under uncultured bacterium. RNAcentral's name for it is "partial 16S ribosomal RNA". It matches the Rfam family "Bacterial small subunit ribosomal RNA", at positions 524 to 776 of the family's 1533-position model. The record is from RNAcentral.
UACGUAGGGUGCAAGCGUUAUCCGGAAUUAUUGGGCGUAAAGCGUCCGCAGGUGGCGAUUCAAGUCCGCGGUCAAAGACUGGGGCUUAACCCUGGAAAGGCCGUGGAAACUGAAUAGCUAGAGUGCAGUAGGGGUAGAGGGAAUUCCCGGUGUAGCGGUGAAAUGCGUAGAGCUCGGGAAGAACAUCGGUGGCGAAAGCGCUCUGCUGGACUGCAACUGACACUCAGGGACGAAAGCUAGGGGAGCGAAUGGG